This 15458-nucleotide long non-coding RNA is filed under the name Triticum aestivum (bread wheat). RNAcentral describes it as "long non-coding RNA (TAES_LNC007265)". Lineage: Eukaryota; Viridiplantae; Streptophyta; Magnoliopsida; Poales; Poaceae. The record is from RNAcentral.
UCUCAAGCCACCUAAUGUGGUGAGAAGUCACGGGGGACAUCUGGGGUUCGGCAAAUAAGUCAGGGAAGUUGGUGUGGCACCAAUUUCCACCGACCGCUUCGCGAAAGCAGCUCGAGAGGAACUGAGCGGACACGCAGGAGAAGAAAAUGUGGUUCGAGUCUUCGGGGACCCCACAGAGCGGGCAGAUGCCAGUACCCGGGCCAUUUCGCUUGCGCACCUCCACCCCGGAUGGGACCCGACCGCGAAUCCAUUGCCACAUGAAGAUACGGAUCUUCAGGGGCAGGCGGAUGGACCACACCAUCGAUAAGGGGAGGGGGGCGGAAGAUGGAGCGAUGGCCAGGUACAGCGACUUGGUGGAGAAUUGGCCCGAAGGUUCAAGGCGCCAGCGCACCAGGUCAGGGCCACCAUCCACCAUCGGUUCGUGGAGAGCAACACAGUCAAGCAACUCACGCCAGGCGGCGGAUUCCAAGGGACCAAAAGGCCAUCGGAAAGCAAGGCGCCCUAAGUUAAGAAGGGCCCUAUCAACAAAAAUCACGGGAUCGACGGAGAUGGAGAAGAGGUCGGGAAAGCGAGCCGCAAAGGGAGUGUCCCCGGCCUAGCGAUCAAACCAGAAUAGCGUCGAUGCCCUGGAGCCCACCGAGAUGGAGGUCCCGAUACGGAGGACCGGGAGAAGCUGGACAAUCGACUGCCAGAACUGGGAUCCGCCAGACUUCUGGCAGAAGGCGAGGGGCUGUCCGCGCAAGUAUUUGUUCCGGAUGAUAUCAAGCCAAAGGCCAUCGUGCCCUUGCGAGAUGCGCCAAAGCCAGCGGGAGAGAAGGGCGAUAUUCAUCUGUUUAGAGCACAUGAUGCCAAGGCCACCUUGCUCCCUGGGCUCAAAUGUCAGGCCAACUGACCAUAUGAUACUUCUGCUUGUCGUUGUCGCCCGCCCAGUAGAAGCGGGACUGGACCUUGGCGAUCUCAUGCUGAAGGGUCUCGUGGAGACUGUAGAAGCUCAUGAGAAACAAGAGGAGGCUGGAGAGGGAAGAGUUGAUGAGAAUAGUCCGUGCCGCCUUGGUCAGCCACCUCCCCUGCCAGGGCUCGAUGCGCGUUUGGAGCUUGGCCACGGAGGGGCGCAAGUCCGCGACGGUGAGCCGGGAGUCAUUAAUGGGCGUCCCCAGGUAGGUUGUGGGGAAGGAGCCCAGGCGGCAAUUAAGUCUGUUCGCGAUGGCCAAAGACUCCGAGGGGGAGUAUCCCAUCACCAUAACAUCACUCUUGUCGAAGUUGAUCUUGAGGCCCGACAUCUGUUGGAAGCAGAGAAGUAGGAACUUGAGGUUGGAGAUGUCCGUCUCCGAGCCUUCGACCAUGAUGAUUGUGUCGUCAGCAUACUGGAGGAUGGAGAUCCCGGAGCCACCGGCAAGAUGGGGAGUGAUCCCAUGAAUAUGGCCGGCGGCUUUCGCCUUAUCCAGAAUGGAGGUAAGCGCGUCCACAACCAUAUUGAACAACAAUGGGGAGAAGGGGUCGCCUUGUCGUACCCCACAAAGGGUGGGGAAGAAAGGGCCGAUCUCGCCGUUGAUGUUCACGGCCGUGCGACCGCAAGAGACCAUUUGCAUGACUCUAGUGAUCCACCGGUCGUCAAAUCCCUUCCGAAGAAGGACUUCCCGAAGGAAGGGCCAGCUAAUCGUAUCAUAGGCCUUAUGGAAGUCAAUCUUCAGGAAAACCGCCUUGAGGUGUUUGAUGCGGACCUCAUGAAGGACCUCAUGAAGGACUAGGACCCCAUCCAGGAUGUAACGGCCCUUUAUGAAGGCCAACUGGUUGGGGUGAGUCACACGGUCCGCCAGUAGGGUCACCCUAUUGGCGUACCCUUUGGCCAGGAUCCGGAAAAUCACAUUAAUGACCGUGAUAGGGCGAAAAUGAUGGAUGUCGGACGUCCCAGGGACCUUGGGGAUGAGGGAGAUGAUCCCAUAGUUGAGGCGCCCGAGAUCAAUGGAGCCAACGUAGAAUUCGUCGAAUAUGGCCAUGACCUCAGGUUUAAUCACUUUUCAGAAGGUCUGGAAAAAUUUAACCGGGAGGCCAUCCGGUCCCGGCGCCGAGGAUGGGUUCAUGCCCUUGAUGGCAUCCCAGACCUCUUGCUCGGAGAAGGGGGCCGUAAGGGCCGCGUUCUCCGAAACAGACACCAACUGGGAACCAGACCAGCAAUCGGGGGCGAGAGAGAUGCCGCUUCGAGGGGCGGCAGAGAAUAAGGAUCUAUAGAAACCGUCGACGUGGGAUCGGAUGUCACGAGGGUCUUGAAGGAGAGCCUCACCGUCCCACAAGAGAGGGAUGGUGUUGCGUCUACGGCGGCCGUUGGCAAUGGCCUGGAAGUAUGCCGUAUUCGCGUCGCCUUUCAAGACCCAUUUCUGGGCACCACGGAGGCGCCAAUAGGCCUCCUCAUCGGUGUAGAUCACGGAGAGCUGGUCUUCCAGGUCAUAACGGGAGAGCCACUCAUCCGGGGAAAGACCCACCGAGUCAGCACGCAGGUCAAGGGCCUGGAUCGCGGACAACAACGCCUUCUUGCGCUCACGGAGGUCACGACCCAGAUUCGCACCCCACCCCUUAAUGAACUGCCGACCGUGUUUCGCGCAGAAGUGCCACGAAUCAAUGGCCGAAGGGGGGCGGGAGUGGGGGUGGCUGUCAGGACCCUGACUCAAUGCCACAUCGAUCUAGCAUGUAACACCUCAUAUCACUUUGCGGCCUCACGCACGGUAUUCCCACGGGUGUCGCCUUACCUUUGCCCGGGACCGUUUGCGCCUUUUGGCACACGUAUAUGAUAGUGUCGCUAGCAUCCAUAUGAUAAGGAGCCCGGGCUGACAUGGCUAGUCGUAAACCCAAAGUGGCACAAACUUACAGGGACAGGCAUCCAUGACCCAGCAUCAAACGUGUCGAUCAUCAGCGAGUGAAUCCAGGCUGUAGCACUGGGCUAGCAGGACUCCGGUGAACCGGGCUGUAGCGGGCUAACAGGACUCCGGUAUUCAUCGCGUGACAUUUCCCCGAGGGGACAGACACAGGAACGAAGAAGGACACAUGCCGCCAGCCUAAGUGUUCCGGAGCAGUAGCAAGCUACCAUGGCUCGGCGGAAACACUAGGAGACAUUUCCCGGUAAGAGAGGCUACUAAGGAUAAACAACUAGAUAGUCAGAUCCCACACAUACCAAGCAUUUCAAUAACAUACACACAAUAUGCUCGAUAUGUGCAAAUACAACAUGGCAUCACAACAUGACUCUACGACCCAAGUAUGUAUUCAUUAGGCUCCGAGGAGCGAGAUAUUACAAACAGGGGUCUCAUGACCCAACAUUCAGAGCAUACAAAUCAAAGCACAAGCGGAAGCUUAACAUGUCUGAGUACAGACAUCUACAAAUGAAAAAGGCUGAGAAGCCUGACUAUCUACCAGAUCCUGCCGAGGGCACAAGAUCGUAGCUGAGGUAACAAGCUAAACGUCGAAGUCCACGCGGAACUACUAGCGAGACCGAAGUCUCUCUGCAAAAACAUAAAAUAGGCAAACGUGAGUACAAAUGUACCCAGCAAGACUUACAUCAGAACUAACUACAUAUGCAUCAUUAUCAACAAAGGGAUGGUGGGGGUUUAACUGCAGCAAGCCAGCUUUGACUCGGUGGCUAUCCUGAACUACGACUGCAAGUAACUCUUUUGAGGUGGCGCACACGAGUCCACAUAUUCACCAUAUCAAUACACCACUAUGGAUCCGCUCCCGUCUCCCUACGAGAACGCCAUCCAUAGCACUCACGCUUAUCUUGCGUAUUUUAGUUAUCCUCUUUCACUUGUCUAUGAACUGAUAUAAGCAACCCAGAAGUCCUUUACCGCGGACACGGCUAUUCGAACAGAUGAUGUUAACCCUGCAGGGGUGUACUUCUUCAUACAUGUUUCCACCACUUAGCGUCUGCACACGACAUGUGCUCGGCAGACUUCAAGCGAAAGCCGACGUGGGUGUAGACCACGACCUACCUAAACACUCGAGUCUCUAGUCCAGGUUUAUCGCCUAUUCGGGUUCCAUCCAUGAGGAGAUCCGGCCGGGGUUUCGCUCACAGCCCCAAACGAUGUGAACAGGGUUCCGUGACACCAAACGGGCGCCCGGUAUACCCGGCCACGUGCCUACCGCAUCACAGCCCACCCCUACGGUCAGCGCUGUCCACGGCCUCCAGCAUACUACAAACACCAGAAACUACUUGCAACUCCUGGACAGAGGACAAGGGUGAAUAAGAAGUCGAGCGGGGUCAUAUUUCAGGGCCCAAUGCAUGGUAGUAGCUGAAUCAUGGAUCACAAACACAGAGCUCAGUUCCUAAGGACGGCUUCAAUGAGACAACCCACCAUGUACUCCUACAUGGCCUCUCACCGAUACCUUUUACCAAAUCGUGUUCACACACUUAGCUCACACACAGUAGGACAUGUUCACACACCUCUGAUUCAUCCCCGAUGAAUCAGACCUGACUCAACUCUAAGCAGUAGCAGGCAUGACAAACAAGCAUGAAUGAGUAGGCACAACAGGGCUCAAACAACUCCUACUCAUGCUAGUGGGUUUCAUCUAUUUACUGUGGAAUGACAGGUCAUGCAAAGGAUAAAGGGGUUCAGCUACCGCAGCAAGUAACAAAUGACUCGUUGUUGUCCUAAUGCAGUAAAAGAGAGCAGGGCGAGAGAGUAGGAUUGUAUCGGAAUGAACAAGGGGUUUUUGCUUGCCUGGCACUUCUGAAGAUAAUAUAGUUCUUCAUCGGUGUCAUCGAUCUCAUCGUCGGUAUCACGUCUAUCGAGAGGGGACAAAUACCGGCAACACAGAAAAGAACACAAUCAAUGCAAUGCACAAUAUGAUGCAUGAUCAUGACAUGGAAAAAAUGAGUGUGUUGGGAUAAUGCAACUAUAAUCGGAUGAAUUUGAGUUAGUUUGAACCCAAGGUUCAAGUUCAAAUUGAAACUAUGACUUAAAAAAGUGCAUUAUCAUGUUUUGAUAUAAACAACAGGUUUAACUUGCUUAAACAUGCAUGAAACCAGUGCAGAUGGAUAGAUUGGAUUUUUCUGAUCAUUUUUCAUAUAUAACUUAUUUCAUUUGGAGUUACGGUUGAAUUUCUAUGAAUUUUAGAAGUUUAGAUCAUUUUCUGAAAUUUAUAAAUCAUUUCCGAUUUAUUUUAAUUCCAGAAAAUGUUUACUGCGUCAGCAUUAGGUCAUGCUGACCUCAGCAGGUCAACAGGCGCCGCCAGGUCAAACCUGACCAGUGGGGCCCACUGGUCAGUGACUGGGGCUGGUUAGUGUCGCUGACAUGUGGGCCCAGUCAACAGCCACGUCAGCUUGGUCAAAGCUGACGUGUGGGCCCACUGAGAUUAAUUUAAACUAAACAGAAACUAAUCUACAUUUAAUUAGACAACGGGGCCUAGCUGUCAGCGAAUGAGCUUUGGCUAAACAUAGUAAUUAGACAAAUCUAAUCCGUCCACGUCAGCACACCGGAGAAUGGCCGGCGGCGACCUCAAACGCGGCGGAGGGUUGCCGGAGUGGCGCUACGGGUGGUGUUGGGCCAAGCCAAGGGCAUCAGAAGGUUGCCCUUGCUCGCGCGCAUCCAGGGGAGGCACGCGGGAGGGCGCGGGGUGGCCGGAUCUCGCCGGAGCGAGCUUGCGGCGGCGGCCGGAGGUCGGCCUCGAGCGGCUAGGGGGCUACGAUGCAGCUACGGACGAGCUACUAGGUGCGUUCGGCUCCUAGGAGCGAGGUGAGGACGAUGACGCGCUCGGGCGCAAGCUGCAGCGUCCGUAGCGGCAGCGGCGACAAGGUCAGCGGCGGCCGGAGUUCGGCCGCGACGGAGAUAUGGCCUAGAGCUCGCAACGCGAGGGGAAAGAGUGGGGUUCGGAUCAGGAGCUCACUGCAAGGUCGGAGAGAAGCUCGGCGGGCUCGGGGGCGCGCCGGAGUGGCUGGAUCGACGAAGAAGAGCGCCGGAGCCGAAGCUUGAAGACGAAGAUGAUGGCGGCUGCUCGGGGCCUCCGUGCUUCCUUCCUUCGGUGCAGAGGUGAAUCAAGAGGUGGCGGAGGCUCUGGAUAGCUCGGGGAGGCAAGGCGAUGGUGGUGGGCGCGGCGGCUCACGGCGGCGUGCUCAGGCGCGUGAGGGGGAGAGCGAGGGAGAGAGACAGAGGAAAAGGGAGGGCACGGGGGAAGAGUGCGAGAGGGUCGGGGUAGUACGUGGCGGCUCCAGGAGCCUCUCCCGCCUCGGCGGAAGCAGGAGGUGGCCACGGCGUGUGGCCGCAGGCGCCGGGCACGCGCCUCUCGUCCUCCUGGUGAGAGGAGGGGGAUGACUGGCAGAGGGCUUGGUGGGCUGGGCCGCACAGUAGUGGGCAUCUGGGCUGUAGGUAAGCGCCAGGUAGUCCUUCUCUCUCUCUCUCUUUUAUUUCUAUUUUUGUUCUAUUUUCUAUUUAUGCAAAUUUGUUUUAAUUUGGUUUUCAAACCAAAUCACUAUUAAAAAUUCUGGAAAUAGUUAUGGGCACUAAAUGAAUUAUUCCAGAGGCUCUCAACUAAUUCCAAAAUUGUUGGAGCAUUUAAAAAUAUUUAUAGUAUUUAAAUGCCCCAAUUCAAAUAUAAUAUGAGUUAAUUCAAAAAUACAGAAUGGCCUAAAAAAUAUGUGCAUCAUUUUUGGCAGAGGUUCUAGACCAAUUCAAAAAUGAUGGACAUUUAUGAAGGCAUUUUGGGUUCGUUGAAAAAAAAACUAAUUUUGACCCUAGUUGAAUUCAUUUGGUGUCAGGGUUUCAACACCCCCCAUUUCAAGUUAAAUAAAAUUUAAACAUGAUGCACACAUGAAGCUAGCCUAGUGCAAAGGCAGAGGCUAGGGACAUGACAGUGGGCGCGAGCCUCGAUGCACCGAGUGCCAACGGCGUCGAUAAACCCGGCCUGGGAGAGCCAGAAGGUCUCAAACCGGAAUCGAGGGGUGACCGGCGGACGUUCGUCGGCAAAAGGGAGGAGAAGGGGUACAUGAUCUGAACCAAUCCUCGUGAUGGCGUGAAGGGAGGCUAAGGGGCAGCGGAGGUCCCAAUCCGGGGACACUAGGACUCGGUCCAGGACAGACUGGGUCGGGGAGGCUUGCCGGUUGGUCCAGGUGAACCAGGCACCAAUCCUAUCGAUCUCGCGGAGACCGAGGUCCGCAAUGAAGUCAUUGAACAUUUGCAUCCGCGCAAAGUAGACAUUAUCAUUGCUCUUGUCUUCCGCCACGCGCAGGAGGUUAAAAUCGCCUCCCACCACCAACGGAAGGGAGGCUGCGGAGAUCUUCCGGUGGAGCUCCUCGAAGAAGGCAGCCGACCGACUAUGGUCAGCAGGCCCGUAGACAAUGAUGACCUCCCACUUGAAGUUUAGAGACCUCUCGAACAACUCCAUGCUCACAAAGAAUUCCCCUCGAUCCAUGCUACCCACCUCAAAUGUGGCAUCCUUCACGCCUAAAAGGAUACCACCCGAGUGGCCGGCGCUCCCACUAGAAGGGAGUCAAUGACACGCAAAGAGGUGGGAGCUUAGACGGUCAAGCUCAGGGAGCGAGAAUUCGAGUCGCAUGGUUUCUUGAAUGGCAACUAUGUCGAUGUGUUCCUCCCGCAUAUACUCCACAAGUUGGCGGCGUCGGCCAUCAUGACCGAAACCGCGGAUGUUCCAGAAUAAUGCACGCAUUAAGGCGCCAUUGGGGGGCUGCUUGACCCCAGGACACGAGAGGCGCUUUGCGCACGGAGGGCCGCGGUGCGGGAGCGAGUGCGACCACGGAUCUCCUCCCCCACUGGCGGGGGGGGGGGGGUAUGGAGCUGUCAGCCGCGACGCGGUCGGGGGAGAGGGGUCUCACCAGCCGCGGGCGGGACGGGAGGUAGAAGGAAGGCCGCACGGGCCUCCGCCAGCCUCCCGUCAAGAAUCUCGCGAGCUCUAAUAGCCGCGAUCUGGACUAAGGGGGGACCUGCUUCCCCCCUAAAAAUGAUUGCGGUCAAAGGCAACCUUUGCGAGGUUGCCUAGAGGAAUAGCCUCAAGCGCAACGAAGGAACAAGACGAAGCCGAAGGGGGAACGACAGGCGUACCUGGCUCCAGGUUCCGAGCAGCAGCGCGGAGCUCCGCCCGCUCGGGGAUGGGCAGAGCCGGACUGCCCUCGGGGUGAGCAGCAUCCAGCCGAGCGCUCCGACGGGAAGCAAUCACCGGGGAGGAUGCCGACCGGCAGUGGGCGAGAGUAGGCGGCGGACCGUGGAGGAGGGGGCUGGGCAGCCAUGGGGGUGGUCACCCUAGCCUCCCCGUCCAUGGUCGGGGCCUCCGCGGGUGAAGCCAGGGACGCGGGCACGGUGCAGCUGAGGAGGAGCGGAGCCGGGGACGGAGUCGCGGACGGAAGCAACAUCGGCGAAGGGGGGAUCGCAUAGCCCGCGGCUGAGGCCGCCCGCGGGAGCGGCGGAGGAGGUGGCGCCUCGGGCGGUGUGGGCUGAGCGACCGCGGGAGGCGAAGCCGGAGGGGGGGAGUCCGCCACAGGGGGCUCAUGAGGGGCCACCGAGGCCGCUGGAAGCAGACUGGGAGCCGGAGCUGUCGAGUCCAGCGCGACGGGAGCAGACGAGGAAGGGGAGCGUGGUGAAGAUGCCGGGCAGACCAGGCCCACGCUGGAGAUGUCGCUUGCCUCGGAGGACGUCGCCACAGAGUCCGAGGGACCGCCGAGAAGCAUGCUGGGUGCGGCCUGGCGGCCCUUGGCCCCCGCGGUAGGGGGAGGGGGCGAAGGGGACGGGGAGCGGGAGUCCUCCGAGCCUCCCUCCUCAUCCGAGUGGUGGGAGCGCGCACGGUGACGACCGUGGUAGUCCCCGUCGGUCCCCGGGUUGCCGCCGGGGAGGCCAGUGUCGAAGGAGCGGGGGCGACCGACGUGGUUGGGGGGCUCGGGGGCGAUCCUGAGAUCGAAGCCCUGGUCGUUGAAGAAGACGCGGACGGUGGUGUGAAGCUUGGAGGAGUCGAGGCACUUGACCUUGACCCGGACCUCCUCCUCCUUGCGUAGAGAGAGCUCAUCGACCACCACCACCUUGCCCAAGAGGCGGGACAUCUGGCGAAUGCCGAGCUCGGACCGCGCAAUAUCAGGGAGGCCGGCCACAAGUAUCCAAACGGUGUCGAGGACGGCCACGGCCUGAGCGUCGAGGAUCGGCUCGGAGAUGUCGACAACCAGUUGGUUGAGAGCGAGCGUGAUCCGGCCACUGCGAGUCACGUAGCCGUAGCUGACGGAGUCGGGGAAGACGACGGUGAAGAUGUGGCCAGCAGUGGGGGUGACCACCCAGUCCCAUUGACGACGGUAGAGGUGGUUGAGCUCGGCCUCAAUCAUCUCCGGGGAUGCCACCCCGUCGACCACAGUGACGACCGCCUGGAGGGUGGGAGAGGGCGGCGGGACGUCGGGGACCUCGAGGUGGAAGAAGACCAACCCCUCGAUACCGUGGCCGUACAUCAUGAGCUCAGACACCACCGGUCUAUCCGGGCACAGGAGAGCGGGGUGGCCCGGAUCCUUGCAGAGGUAGCAGCAUUGGGGAUUGACACAGUUGACUUGCGAAUGGCCCCCCACCCCGCAGUUGAAACAGGGGGGGCGAGGGAGACCAGAGACGGGCUCGGGCAUGGCGGAAGAUCCCGGGGCCGCCGAGGGGGGCACGGGCGGAGCGCCGCGGGCACCCCGACGCUUCUUCUUCUUGGCCGGCCCAGCGCGGCUGCGCGCGGUGCCACCGCCCGAGGCCGGAACCGAAGCCGUGGCCGUGGGAGCGGAGGCAUGGGGCGGCACGUAACGACGGGGAGCAGNNNNNNNNNNNNNNNNNNNNNNNNNNNNNNNNNNNNNNNNNNNNNNNNNNNNNNNNNNNNNNNNNNNNNNNNNNNNNNNNNNNNNNNNNNNNNNNNNNNNNNNNNNNNNNNNNNNNNNNNNNNNNNNNNNNNNNNNNNNNNNNNNNNNNNNNNNNNNNNNNNNNNNNNNNNNNNNNNNNNNNNNNNNNNNNNNNNNNNNNNNNNNNNNNNNNNNNNNNNNNNNNNNNNNNNNNNNNNNNNNNNNNNNNNNNNNNNNNNNNNNNNNNNNNNNNNNNNNNNNNNNNNNNNNNNNNNNNNNNNNNNNNNNNNNNNNNNNNNNNNNNNNNNNNNNNNNNNNNNNNNNNNNNNNNNNNNNNNNNNNNNNNNNNNNNNNNNNNNNNNNNNNNNNNNNNNNNNNNNNNNNNNNNNNNNNNNNNNNNNNNNNNNNNNNNNNNNNNNNNNNNNNNNNNNNNNNNNNNNNNNNNNNNNNNNNNNNNNNNNNNNNNNNNNNNNNNNNNNNNNNNNNNNNNNNNNNNNNNNNNNNNNNNNNNNNNNNNNNNNNNNNNNNNNNNNNNNNNNNNNNNNNNNNNNNNNNNNNNNNNNNNNNNNNNNNNNNNNNNNNNNNNNNNNNNNNNNNNNNNNNNNNNNNNGGUGGCGGGCCGGUCGAACGGGGCGAGGGAGCGGCCGGAGUCGAAGCAGGGGGGGAUGCGACGGGGAGGAGAUGGGGACGAGGAGAGGUGGCGGCGCUGGGGAGAGGGGGUCGCGGGAAGCCGCAGGGUAACCAUAUGGAUGGGGCCAGCGCCCUAGGGCAACCCAGCGGCCCAACGCUAGUGGGCCGGCCCGGGGGGAGGGGAGACCAUCCGGUAUGGCAUCACUGCGGCCCAGCUGCCGGGGCGGGCCGGGGCCCAGCAGCCCAGGAACACCAGCGGCCCGGCCCAGGCGACGGGGAGGCACGGGAGCCCUAAGGGUUUCCCUCCCAGGGGCGGGCGCCGCCGCCGCCGCCGGCGUGGCUCCGGCGCAGGCAGCCAGGGCAGAGGGAUCCCGACGGACCGAGAGGAACCGGAGGUUCGAGAACCCGAAGGCCGCGAUAAAGGGCCUAAAGGGGGAGGAUCGCACGCACGGGGUCGGGGGAGAGCAGGCGGAGAUCGACGCCGAGGGAGAUGGGUAGGCCGCCGGCCGGGCCUCCGCCGCCGGGCGGCGCCAGGAGGAGCGGGCGGCACCCCGGCCGGAGCGGCCAGCCACGCCCCAGGAGCGUCCGCGCCGGCGGCGAGCAGCGCCACCAGCCAAGCCCGCACCUUGGCGCUCCACCGCCCGAGUCGAGCUCGAGGGCGUCGUCGGCUGCGACUGCGGCGUUCGCGGGCCAGCAGCAGAACCCCUCACGUGGGGGGCUGAGCUGCCAGCCCGGCGCGGCAGCGCGGCGGCGAGCGAGGGGGUGGGGGCUGGGGGGGGGGACGGCUCAUCGUUGGCGAAGUCGGCCCAACGGAUCCGAGGCGCGGAGGGGGCGGCAGCAGGAGCGGCUGGAGGGGAGGGAGGCGCCGCGGCCGCCGGAGCGGGGCACUCGCUGGAGGGGGCAGCUGGGAUGGAGGCGGGGGGCGCCACCGGCGGCGGGUGCGCGCCGGCGCAGGCGCCAGAAUCGCCAGAGCACGGGAGCUCCAUCCCGCUCCUAUACCUAUAUCCCCCGCUGCGUAUUUGGCUGCUCCGUCCUUGCUAUUUAGUUAAGUUCUAGUCGUGGCAUGCCAUUUAGAGUUUCUUCUUUAAGAGAAUCAUCUGCUAACUGGUUGUGGCAAAAGCUUGACCAAACCUUGGUUUUUGUUCCAUACCAUUUUGUGAAUGUUUAACUGACUGUAACUGGUCCUCUGAGAAUACUGUACUCAAUGAUGUAAAAAAACUGGAAAUAUUUUACUGCCCCUACGGCCAUUGAUCUGUCACUUGAUGCAUUCACGUAUUUACACAGCAGCCCUAGUAUCUGAUCAUAUAUUCUGGGAUAUGGCUGAAUGGUAUCAAGAACAACUUACAUGAAUCUCGUAGAAGAACUGAAUUAGAUCUUGUUCUGAAGUUGGAGCUCUUUUAGGGUGCUCUAUCUUACCACAUUAGAGGUAAGAGGUGGUUUAAAUCUGAGUGGUUGGUUGAUGAAAGUUUGAAGGUUAUUUUGGGCCCUAGUGCAGAUAAGGCUAAUAAGGAAACCUACAAUUAAUUUGGUAAGGUAGAUAGGCACAGACGUUUCCCUACAAAUCACGAGAGACAUGUUUAAAUGCACAUUACUUCCCAUGUUCCCAUCUCAGCCCAGGGAUACACAUCCUGCAUGACUAUUGAUUUAAAUCAGAUGGUUGCAAAAAGAUCUAGACCACAGUUUUCUGCAGUUUCAGUUAUGUAUUGCUAAUUUGAAUGAUCAAAUAAUAUUUGAGAGCAAUGUUUAGUGUUAAAUUUUAUGACAGCUUGAAAUGGAAGUGUCAGAUUCAGACUUACAUAUAAAGUUAGUAUUAUAAGGCAAUAGGCAUAAAUUAAUUAUCAAAUUUUAAUCAUGAAGUUUGUUUUUUCUGUAGUAAUGUACUUGUAUGUUUAAUAGUGAUAAUUUGGUAUAUAUGUUUGAAUUUCUUUAUUUUUCUUUCAUUUUUCUGAAAGGGUGUUUAUUUUUAAUAAAUCCAGACACACAAUUCAAGAAAUAAUCAUUACAUUUUUCCUGUCAAAUGUGAGUCUCGAUAUAUAAUUUUAUGUACAAUAAUAAAUUAUGGUAUUAGGUCAGACUGGCUUCCUUUUCUUAAAUAUGUUGAUUAUUUAGAAUUAUUUACCAAUUAUUUCAUGUAUUGCUGCGCCCACUUCCCUCUACGAGUUAAUAGAUCACCCUUAGCCACUAGACCAAGGCAAAGAGAGGGUUUUCACAAAAGUGUGUCUUAUUUUAUAUUGGUUAAAGUGAAAAAACUAAUUAAUAAAAAUGUUAAAAACUUGAUCUCGUUGACUGAUAGAUCUCCGAGUAUAGUAUUUUUCUCCACGAACUUGAUGAUUUCUGUUUGUUGCAGGCCCAGUUUUUGUUAGAUGGGUCCUCUGGCUCUGGCAUGUGGAUUGUCCCUAUAACUUCAGGCUGUGGUGCAUAUGAUACAGAGAAAAAGUUGUUGUUGAAACUUAAACAUGAUAAGCUGGUCAUUGGUUCACAAUGUGGUGACCGAAAGAAGGGCGGAAACUUUUGGACUAAGUUGAAUAUAAAUGGAACCGGAUUUUACAGAGUUAAAUAUGACGAUGAGCUUGCAGCUGCACUUCAAAAUGCGUUGGAGACCAAGAAGCUCUCACUAAUGGAUAAAAUUGGUAAACGCAACAUGUGACCAUUGAAUCUGCUUGUAAUAUUUUGGUGGCAGGUAUUAUAACAUUACCAUUGCAGGCAUCCUGGAUGACUUAUAUGCGCUUUCUAUUGCCCGCCAACAAACAUUUGCGUCGUUGCUACAUUUACUCUACGGUUAUCGUGGGCAAGCUGAUUAUAGUGUUCUUUCACACAUAAACACUGUACGUAAAUCCUGUAGGUCCAGUUGAUUCUAUCGUGUUCAAUUGUUCCUGAAGAUAAAUCGCCUAUAUCUUUACUUUGGAUUGGCAGGUAACCACAAGUAUUGCUAAAAUAUCUGCUGAUGCUACUCCUGCCUUGGCUGGUGACAUCAAGCAACUUUUGAUCAAGAUUCUUUUGUCACCUGCAGAGUAUGCCCCACCAUAACUGCUAUGAGUUUCUUAAUGUGUUACACUCACAAUAUAUCAUCUCUUUUGUUUCACAAAAAGGAAAAGGAAACAUAAUAUGUCACUAAUCUUCUUCCUAACUUCUCAUGUUGCUUGAACAUUCCUUCUUUUGUGGCCGAUGCAUGACAAUUGCAUGAUUCUUUCACGUUAUUACUGUAUAUUUGCUACAUUUUCCUAUGUUUCUUCUUUUUGACUAUGUGACACUUAUCUUUCAGAAAGUUAGGCUGGGACCCCAAGAAGGGUGAGAGCCACCUGGAUGUAAUGCUUAGACCACUGCUGUUGACUGCACUUGUCCAACUUGGACAUGGUAAGACCAUUAAUGAAGGAGUUAGGCGCUUUAACAUCUUCACACGUGAUCGCGGCACUUCUCUUCUUCCUCCGGAUACUAGAAAGGUCCUGCCUUUUGCUAUCACUUCACGUGGUACCUAUGAUUACUUCUUCCAUUUGUAACUUGCGCUGUUCUGCAGGCCGCAUACCUCUCUGUGAUGCAGAAUGUUAGUAGUUCAAACAGAUCCGGUUAUGAUGCUCUCCGAAAAAUCUACAAGGAGUCAGCUGAAGGGGAGGAAAGAUUACAAGUCUUAGGUGUGUAGCCCUUUGACCAUCUUAAACUAACAAAGCUUGCCCAUGUUUUUGGUUGUUCUAAAAGCAUUUUCUUAUUGUUUCAAGGCAUAUUAUCUUCUUGCCGGGAUAAUAGUAUCGUCCUUGAAUCACUGAAUUUAAUUUUCACUAAUGAGGUAAAUGCAAAUAUCAUUACUUUCUUCCACAUUUAUAGUCGAAGGUUUCUAUGAGCUUACUUGUGUGUCAAGGGCAAGCUGUACUCAGGUCUCAUAUGCCUCUCUUGCUUGUCAGGUUCGCAAUCAAGAUGCAUAUAUUCUCCUUAGAGGUAUUCAACCAGAGGCACGUGAAAUUUCGUGGAACUGGUUGAAGGUACGAUCUCUUUUAACAAUGAGUACCCUUUUAUCUAUGUGUGUUGACGUGUUGUUGAUGCGUAAAAGUCGUUAUUUCUGGGUCCUGUCUGGAACAUCAGAUUCUUGUAGGCAUUCUAAACAAAUUUGAAUAUCCAUUCAUGAGAAUAUGCUUCUUUUUCUACCAACUUCAUUGAGAUUUCUGCAUUACAAAGAGGACCCAGGGUUCUUCUGUAUUUGUCAACAAGAACUCAAGUCAAGUGGCAUAUUUGCAAACAGCUGAACCAUAUUUGUGAAUUUAUUUCGGGAUCCCGAUUUCUUUAAAUGGAUUUCCCUUGUAAAUGUAUUUUAACUAGAGUGAAUUUGAGGCAGCACCCAACCAUCUAUUUUUUGUAGUUCCUUCAUAUGACACCUUAGGAGAUGACUGAUGGUUCAUACUUGGUGUUAGCAGACUGAAACAUUUGAAAACAUGGUGCUAACAUUUGUCCCAUUCUGUCUGUCUGCAGGAAAACUGGGAGCGCAUCUCAAAGAUAUUUGCCGGGAGCUUGGUUACGGAUUUUGUUAAAACCAUUGUUCCAUUGGUACAUUUAAUCACAGUUCUAUUGCCCUAUUUCCGUGAUCAUAUUCCCCAGUUUUGCAGGUAUUAUUUCCAUGAGGCCAUAGCUAAUGUGGACUUCCUUGUUUCUUGUCAGUUCACCUCCAACGAGAAGGCCGCAGAGAUCUCCAAGUUCUUUGCAACGCGCACAAAGCCUGGAUUCGAGAGGACGCUGAAGCAGAGCCUUGAAACCGUGCGGAUCAGCGCGAGAUGGGCCGAGGGCAUCAGGAGUGAGCCCGGGCUUGCACAGACGGUGCGCGAGCUCCUGGCCAAGCCCUGACGUGCUGCAGCUAGAGUGCUAGGUUACAGUUGUUGUUGGCAAUAAGAAUGCAUUUGUGCCUUAUCAUGUGUGGAAACUGUGGCUUGAGAUGGUAUUUGGUUGUACAUUUGUAGUGGUGGUGGUAGUGAGUCAGCUGAUUGCAGUUUGUAGCCAAAUCAUUUAUUGUUAUGAAUGCAUGUGGUGCAAACGGGUUGUAUGAAGAAUGAGAACAAGGAGGAACUAG